This is a non-coding RNA of Pimephales promelas (fathead minnow), 172 nucleotides long. The record is from RefSeq and is a predicted model, not a curated record. NCBI's taxonomy places the organism in Eukaryota, Metazoa, Chordata, Actinopteri, Cypriniformes, Leuciscidae.
ACAAUGUGUCACCAACGCCGCCUCAGAUGCGUGCUUGUCAGAAUGUGUGACUGAUGAACAACGCACUGAAAACGGCAAAUAAACCCAAUGAAUUCACAACCAUUUAAUAAAAUAGUGUUCUCAUCUUACGUAAUUUGACAGUCCCAAAUUAACCGUCAUUAUUAUUACGCUG